UACGUAGGGUGCGAGCGUUGUCCGGAAUUACCGGGCGUAAAGAGCUCGUAGGUGGUUUGUCGCGUUGUUCGUGAAAUCUCACGGCUUAACUGUGAGCGUGCGGGCGAUACGGGCAGACUAGAGUACUGCAGGGGAGACUGGAAUUCCUGGUGUAGCGGUGAAAUGCGCAGAUAUCAGGAGGAACACCGGUGGCGAAGGCGGGUCUCUGGGCCGAUACUGACGCUGAGGAGCGAAAGCGUGGGGAGCGAACAGG
Molecule: ribosomal RNA, 253 nt
Filed under: uncultured bacterium
Lineage: Bacteria
Description: partial 16S ribosomal RNA
Rfam family: Bacterial small subunit ribosomal RNA
Source: RNAcentral